RNAcentral lists this ribosomal RNA (301 nucleotides) under uncultured bacterium. RNAcentral's name for it is "bacterial SSU rRNA". It matches the Rfam family "Bacterial small subunit ribosomal RNA", at positions 28 to 350 of the family's 1533-position model. The record is from RNAcentral.
GAUAAACGCUGGCGGCGUGCCUAACACAUGCAAGUCGAACGCCCUGGAGCAAUUCAGGGAGUGGCGGACGGGUGAGGAACACGUGGGUGAUCUGCCUUGAGGUGAGGAAUACCGGCGAGAAAUCGCCGACAAUACCGCAUAGGUUCGUAAGAACAAAGUCGCAAGACGCCUUGAGAUGAGCCUGCGUCCGAUUAGCCAGUUGGUGGGGUAAUGGCCUACCAAAGCAGCGAUCGGUAGCUGGUCUGAGAGGACGAUCAGCCACACUGGGAUUGAGAACGGCCCAGACUCCGUACGGGGGCGA